UCAAGUGAUCCACCUGCCUCGGCCUCCCAAAGUGUUGGGAUUACAGACGUGAGCCACCGCACCUGGCCGCAUAUGCACGUUUACAGCAUCACACACAAACACUCCAGGCAGAGAAUGGAACUGAUAGUCACGCCUGUCUGCUGUGGCCUCAGCCCAAAGCUUUUAGUACUUCUGAGCAAGGAGGAGUGUCAGCCUGGCCAGGGUGUCUCACUGGUGUCCAAAAACUACGCCCCUAGUGUUGUUUCUGCUAAUUCUGCCUACAUUGUCCUUACCUGCCUCCUCUUCUGGCUUAUUCCUGCUAAUUUGUUAAGAAUUGACUUGGCACCACCUCCUCCAAGAAGUCUUCCCUGACUUCCCAGUGCUGGGCUAGGUCUUGUUCAGCUAGUUGCAUAGCUUCUGGGGACAAGAGCCACACUUUCCUCUCCCAUGGCGACCCCACCCUUACACUGUCUUGAGAAAGCUGGGAAUACAGUGGGUACUCUGUAUAUGUUAGUUGUGUUUCAGAAUGGUUCCUUUUCCCCUCACCCCAGUCAAGCACAGUGGGAUUUUUCUCCAGUAUUCACUUGGAGACCCUGGUGGGGUUUCUGAAGGUAAGCCUUAUAAAAGUGUGCCCCCCACCCCACGCUGAGCCCCUAGGUUUUAAGUCUUGAGGUAGCCCCCACUCAGCUUGAGCAGUUCGCUGAAGUUGCCUUUUUGUUCCUCCCAGUUCCUGGCUCCAGCAGCCUGUCCUCACUGUGAGCUGUGGUUCUCUGUCUCCGCCUGUCUCUUUAGUUUUAGGGUUGGCUGUUUGUCCUGUAACCUCAAUUUUCUGAGGAUUCUAAGAAAAGUCACUGAUUUUCAGUUUGCUUAACUUUUUUCUGGUUUCAGGGGUGGGAGCUGACAUCUGCCAAUCUGGAAGUUGAUGUGCAUAGGUUGAGUGCACUUGAAUCUUCUCUUUGCUUCUUUGGCGGACCCAGGGUCCAGGGACAGGGAGGGGACAGGGUGGAGACCAGCAGACCCCGUUUUCUCUGACUGGGGCCUGAGGACCUGAAGGGAAUGCAGCCCCUCGGGGACUUCUGUAUUAAACACAGACACACAGACUCCACCGGGCUGUGAUGACUGGGGGUGGGGAGUCAGUCAUAGUGUUUGCACUUAAUUCUGACAACAAAGCUGAGGGUCAUCAGAGCCCGGAGUGGGAGUUUGUUAAAGUGACAGUCACCUGGUGUCAUUCUCACAGCUGAGGACCUCCUGCAUGGCGGGGAGGGUGUGCCUCCUCAUCUCUGAGCGCCCUGCCUGCCAACCUCCCUCCCCCGCCCCUACUUCCUUGGCCUACUUGGGCCUUGGCACCAGGCCUGUGCCAGGGCCCAAGUUGUCUGGCAGCAAAGACACAGUCCCUGUCUGUAGGGGGACGGACACACAGCUCCUUUGCACACAGCUUUGGGACAGGGAGAGGGGCAGAAUCCUAUUUGUCCUAGGAGAAGCUCAGCUCCACCUGGGUGGGACAUGCAGCAGGUGCUCAGUGUUUGUUGACUGACUGAGUGAGGGCUUUCAAGGACCCACACGAUGUCCGCUUCUGCCCAGAGCACCCUGAGCCGACGUACAUGAGGAGUUUCCACUGAGGAGCCAUGUCAGGGCGUGCAGUGUGGGCCUGGAGAGCCAGCACCGGCUUCCUGGUUCCACUGAGCAGCCGCGUCCGCCAACACUCGGUUUCCGGCUUCCUCAUUGCACUGAGCAGCCGCGUCUGCCAACACUCGGUUUUCGGCUUCCUCGUUCCACUGAGCAGCAGCGUCCGCCAACACUUGGUUUCAAGCUUCUUUGGCUUUUCAGGUUUUUUCCCCUCUUAACAAAAUGAUGAAAAUGCACAACAGGCCGAAAUGCCCAAAUCCGUCACUCAUGAUACAUUUUACCAAAGUCAAAAGAAAAAAGAAACGUCCUCCUUAAUCACCUUUCAUAUUUUCAUUAGCAACAUCAAAGCGAUCAGGUCUGGGAAAGCCCAUCUGAGUCAUGUCUCUGGUAAGAAGUUGAUGAAGAAUACAAAGGAACUUGAAUUUCAAAGCCAAGCCUUUAUCUCUCAUUCAUGUUUUCUACUGUGAGGGCUCCCCCAAGACCCAGCCCUGUCAUUCAUUAGGGGAGGGCCUGCAGGUCUGAGCAGACACAGUGUUGCCCACCCUAAAGCAUUCAGUGCAGCCGGUAUGGGUGACCCUGUCCUGAGCCCACUGGAACCCUCAUCUCUCCCCCCAACUGCAACCCAGGGAUAGGAGUUGCUUAACCUCCCUGAGCCUGUUUUCUUAUGUGUUUAUUAGCAGCUGUGGGGCGCCUGCUUCAUGCCUUACUUUGUGCUGGACCAGGUGGUAUGCAAGGAACGACAGACAUGUCCGUAAGGAGCUUGAGGCUGAGCUUGGGAGACAGACGCAGCAAGUGCGGGAGGGGUCAGUGCAAAGCCAUGUCAGGGCAUGCAGUGACCCAGAGGAGAGAUUGGCUCUACCAGGCACACCCACGAGGGCUCCCUGGAGGUGGAGGCACAGUGUGUUUUGAUGGCUUGUGGGAGGGCUAAGUUUUCUGGGAAGGGAGAGAGAGAGCCGCCCAAGGGCCAGGCCCUGUUGUCUCAGCAGCCCCAAGGCACUGGAAGCCCUGGAGUGGAUGGUGGUGUUGGGGAAUUCAGGCUUCUGCAGGUACCCGGGAGAGCAAAGGGUGGACACAGUGGAAAUUGGUCCCAAGUCACCCAAAGUCCAAGAGUGGAAAGUGGAGACCCCUUCUCAGUAUCUCCCCAACUCUGUGUGCGGUACAGGUGGUCUCGGAUGCACUCCUUCUGCUGCCUACCCCGAAUGGCCCUGAGGAGGGCUGUUUACCAGGCACCAAUGCUUUAUCAUCUGAAAAACACAUGGCAGAAAGAAUUCAAGGGAGGACGGAGAAAACCCAAAGAUACCUUGUCAGGUGAGAGGAGGGCUUCAGAGUCACUCACGCCAAACAGGCUUCAUAGCCACGCCAGGGGCCCAUGAUGGUGAUCUACAGGGUCCAGCCGUGAGUGAGGAGCCCUGUGGUUGAAAAACACAGGGUGUGGGUGGAUUAGAACUCCUUCCAAAACACAGAUUAUUGAGCCUUUCCUCCCAGGGUUUUAGAUUUAAUCACUCUUGGGUGGGCCUGAGAAUUUGCAUUUUGAGGCGAGUCCUCAUGCUCUGCUGGUACUGCUGGAAUGGCCACCACACCUUGAGCACCGCUGGGUUGGAGGAGGAGUGCUGACGGAGUGCUAAGCUGAUCUCAUCCUGGCCAGACCUUAGGAGGGAGCUCCUGCAAACUGAUGCCAGCAGGGCCAGGCGAGCAUGGAUCACGUGGACACGGAGGCCCUUUGUCCUGCUUCGUCCGUCCAACCCUAUGCCAGUGAGCUCCACGAAGCAGUGACGCCUGCAGAGACUCUGGCCACAGGAAGUGUCAGUAUCCUUUGGUGCAGCUGUGAAUGGUGCCCAGGAGCUGAGCGUCUUGUAGUGCCUGAAGCACGUGUCUCAGUCACAGUUUGGGUAAGUCCACCGGCUAACCCUAGCCAGAAUGAGUAAGAAAAAAAUCAAGCGUCUCUGGAGAGCUUCUUUGAAAAGGGGGAAAGGCCCAAUGGUGAAACAGCAGAAGACUCAAAGAAAGUUGCAUUUAAAAGGAAACAGCAAGAGCCCUGCUUCAAUUAUGGAUUCAUUGCAACAAGUGAUUCAUAUUCCCCAAGCCCUCUUUGCAUAAUAUGUGACCACUGGCUAUCCAGUGAAGCCGUAAAACCUUCAAAACCGCUUCGCCACAUGGAGACCAAGCACCUUGCAUUAAAAGACAAACCUUUAGAGUUUUUCAAAAGAAAAAAAAAAACACGAACACGAAGAACAGAAGCAAUGAUUGAAGGCCACCACUUAGUUGACUGUGUCUGCACUGAGAGCGUCACUCUUAGUGUCUAACCGCAUUGCUAAAGCUAGGAAUCCCUUUACUGUUGGUGGAGUUGAUCCUGCCUGCUGCUGCUAAGGACAUCUGUCGUGAACUUUUGAGAGAGACUGCAGUUGAAAGGGUAGCACGUAUUCCUCUUUUGGCUAGCACCAUAACUAGAUGAAUUGAUGAAACGACAGAGGGUAUUGAGGCACAAUUGUUAGAGGGGAUUAAUGAGUCACUGCGGUACGCAACCCAGGGUUGACGAGUCUACCGAUGUUGAAAACAAGGCAACAAUGCUUGUUUUUGUGCAUAUAUGUUCAGGAGGAUGUGCAUGAGGAUGUGUUAUGUGUGCUUCUGUUGCCAACCCACACCACAGCUGGUAUUCACGUCUUUGAUUACAUAUCAGGAAAGGUGAAUUGAUCACUUUAUGUUGGUCUGUGCAUGGACGGAGAGACUGCCAUGGCUGGACGGCUUUCUGGUUUCAUUACUCAGGUCAAAGAGGUCACUUCUGAAUGUGAGUCCACACGCUGUGUCAUCCAUGGAGAAAUGCCGGCCAGCCAAAAAAUGUUGCCUGAACUUAACAGCGUUUUGGAAGCUGUGAUUAAAAUGAUCAGUCACGUUAAAGUACAUGGGCUUUAACUCACAUCUGUUCUUGCAGCGGUGCCGAAAAAAUCACCUGAACUUAAGAACGUUUUGCAGGAUGUGAUUGAAAUGAUCAGCCACAGCAAAGUGCAUGCCUUUAACUCACGAGGUCUGUUCUCGCGGCUCUGUGAGGAGAUGGACGCGGUACACACACGUCUUCUCUGAUACACAGAAGUGAGAUGCUUUCCAAAGGUAGAUCACUGGCCAGAGUUUCUGAGUUAUGAGAGCUGCUCCAGAGAUUUCUUUUAGAAAAAUAGUCCCCACUAGCAGCAUAUUUCAGUGACAUAGGAUGAGUCGCAAAACUUGCUGACUUGUGCGACGUAUUCAACCUGCUCAACAAACUCAAUCUGUCACUUCAGGGAAGAAUGACAACUGUGUUCAAGUCGGCAGAUAAAGUGGCUGCAUUCAAAGCCAAAUUGGAAUUAUGGGGGUGACGAGGGAACACUGGGAUUUUUGACAUGUUUCAAACAUUAGCAGAGAUUUUGAAAGAGAUAGAGCCAGGGCCUUCCCUCUUCCAGCUGGUGCAUGAUCACCUACCUCAGCUCUCUUUUUUCUUUUUUUUUUUUUUUCUUUUUUUUG
This 5097-nucleotide long non-coding RNA is filed under the name Homo sapiens (human). RNAcentral describes it as "HSALNT0406366". Lineage: Eukaryota; Metazoa; Chordata; Mammalia; Primates; Hominidae. The record is from RNAcentral.